Molecule: transfer RNA, 73 nt
Filed under: Pygoscelis adeliae (Adelie penguin)
Lineage: Eukaryota; Metazoa; Chordata; Aves; Sphenisciformes; Spheniscidae
Rfam family: tRNA
About the family: Transfer RNA (tRNA) molecules are approximately 80 nucleotides in length.
Source: Rfam by way of RNAcentral
GCCUGGCUAGCUCAGUCAGCAGAGCACGGAAUUCUUAAUCCCUGGGCUGUGGGUUCAAGCCCCAUGUUGGGCG